Non-coding RNA from Malus domestica (apple), 4082 nucleotides. Lineage: Eukaryota; Viridiplantae; Streptophyta; Magnoliopsida; Rosales; Rosaceae. The record is from RefSeq and is a predicted model, not a curated record.
ACUUCCAACGGACACAACAAACUCUGCAAUCUUCUAUCCGCGCCUUCCACCUCAUCUUCCAGCCAUGAACUGAAACAAAUAGCGCCCAGAAAAACCCAAUCCUUCAAGCUUCGAGCUUUCAGCAAUGGAGAAUUUUACAAUCCCCUGCAAAUCAAGCCCUCCAACGGCCAUCGUUCCCCCCAAAUUUAGCAACCCAUCUGAAUUCUCACCACGACAAACCAAACCCACAAUCUCUUUUUCCAGAAAAACCCUCCCAAAAUCCACAGACUCUCACUUGAAUUACCUCUGCAAGAAUGGCGAGCUCACCAAGGCCGUCACGGUUCUUGAAUCCAUUGCCAAAAGUGGGUCGAAGGUAACUUCCACUACCUACAUGAAUUUACUUCAAUCUUGCAUUGACACCAAUUGUAUUCAACUGGGUCGGAAGAUCCAUGAGCGUAUUGAUAUAGUUGAGGAAUUGAACCCUUUUGUUGAAACGAAGUUGGUGAGUAUGUAUGCGAAAUGCGGGUUUUUGGAUGAUGCGCGCAAGGUAUUCUACGCAAUGCGUGAGAGAAAUUUGUACUCUUGGUCUGCCAUGAUCGGUGCGUGUGUCAGAGACCAGAGGUGGAAAGAGGUGGUGGAGCUUUUUUACUCGAUGAUGAGAGAUGGGGUUUUGCCGGAUUACUUUCUGUUUCCUAAGAUAUUGCAGGCUUGUGGGAAUUGUAGGAAUUUAGAGGCCACAAAAUUGAUACAUUCCAUUGUGGUUCGGUGUAACUUGAGUAGUUGUAUUCAAGUGAACAAUUCGAUACUGGCAGUGUACGCAAAGUGUGGAAAAUUGAAGUGGGCAAGGAGGUUUUUUGACGACAUGGAUGAGAAGGAUGGGGUGAGUUGGAAUGCAAUUAUAUCUGGUUAUUGCCACAAAGGUGAGACUGAAGAAGCUCAGAGACUGUUUGAUGCGAUGAGCAAAGAAGGGAUUGAACCGGGGUUGGUAACUUGGAAUACAUUGAUUGCUAGUCAUAACCAGUUAGGGCAUUGUGAUGUCGCUAUGGAACUGAUGAGGAGGAUGGAGAGCUGUGGGAUAACUCCUGAUGUAUAUACUUGGACUUCUAUGAUUUCGGGGUUUGCUCAAAACAACAGGAAAAAUCAGUCUUUGGAUUUGUUGAAGAAGAUGCUUUUGGCAGGGGUACAACCAAAUGGGAUUACAAUCACUAGUGCAAUCUCAGCUUGCACAUCUUUAAAAUCACUCAACAAAGGGUUGGAAAUCUAUUCUAUUGCUAUAAAGAUGGGUUUCAUUGAUGACGUACUGGUCGGAAAUGCGCUCAUUGGUAUGUUUUCAAAAUGUGGGGAACUGGAAGCUGCUCAGAAGGUCUUUGUUAGGAUCCCAGAGAAAGAUGUCUAUACCUGGAACUCAAUGAUAGGAGGAUAUUGCCAAGCUAGAUACUGUGGUAAGGCCUAUGAACUAUUCAUGAAGAUGCAGGAAUCAGAUGUGCAUCCCAAUGCUGUGACCUGGAAUGUGAUGAUCACAGGAUACAUGCAGAGCGGAGAUGCAGAUCAAGCAAUGGACCUCUUCCAAAGGAUGGAAAAAGACGGGAAAGCUAAACGAAAUACGGCAUCUUGGAACUCUCUUGUCUCUGGCUACCUGCAACUUGGGGAGAAAGACAAGGCACUUGGGGUAUUCAGGCAGAUGCAGGCCUACUGUGUUAAUCCCAAUUCUGUUACUAUAUUGAGUGUCCUGCCUGCUUGUGCGAAUUUAGUUGCCACGAAAAAGGUGAAAGAGAUCCACGGUAGUGUAUUGCGUAGAAAUUUGGAGUCCUUAGUCCCUGUUGCAAAUUCCUUGAUAGACACCUAUGCCAAAUCGGGAAAUAUAGCAUAUUCAAGAUUCAUAUUUGAUAGAAUGCCAUCCAAAGAUAUCAUCACUUGGAACUCGCUAAUUUCUGGUUAUGUCUUGCAUGGUUUUUCAGACAUUGCACUUGACCUUUUUGAUCAGCUGAAGAAGUCGGGCUUUAAACGAAAUAGAGGUACCUUUGCAAGUAUCAUAUAUGCAUACAGUCUUGCUGGAAUGGUAGACGAGGGGAGACAAGCUUUUUACAGCAUCACUGAAGACUAUCAAAUCAUACCAGGUCUAGAACAUUAUUCAGCUAUGAUAGAUCUUUUCGGGCGUUCAGGUAGGCUUCAAGAAGCAAUGCAGUUUGUUGAAGAUAUGCCCAUAGAACCAGACUCCUCUAUUUGGGCUGCCUUAUUUACAGCAUGUAGGAUUCAUGGGAAUCUUGCCUUGGCAGUUCGUGUGGGGGAGCAUUUACUCGACUUGGAACCAGGGAAUAUUUUGAUUCAACAGUUACUGUUACAGGCAUAUGCACUAUGUGGGAAGUCUGAGGAUACUUCAAAAUUGAGAAAGUUCGGUCGAGAUGCUGCAAUAAAGAAAUUUACUGGGCAGUGCUGGAUUGAGUUCAAGAACUCGGUGCAUAUGUACACUGCAGGUGACAGGUCGAAGUUAUGCUCAAACUUUCUAAAUUCGUGGUUACAAAACAUAGACGAAAAAGCAAAGAGACCUGAUUUUUGUAAUGAGCUUUGUGUUGAGGAAGAAGAGGGGGGUAUUAGCUGGGUCCAUAGUGAAAAACUUGCAUUUGCUUUUGCUCUCAUUGGCUCCCCAAGUGUACCCCGAAGUAUUAGGAUGGUGAAAAAUCUGAGAAUGUGUGGAGACUGCCACAGGACAGCCAAGUAUAUAUCUAUGGCUUUUGGGUGUGAUAUAUAUUUGAGUGACCCAAAGUCGUUUCACCAUUUUAGUAAUGGCCAUUGUUCUUGUGGUGACUAUUGGUAGAGAGGUCAUCAUGGAAAAUCAUCAAAGGCCAAAGUUGAAAGAUCAGGUGCAGCGAAACGGGGCUUGUUAAAGGCACGAUUGCAGCUAACAUUCAACUUCAUUUUGUAUAGUCACAUCAACUCCAAUCCGUCAACAUUUUUUAGUUUGAAGCCAAACUUAGGCUUCGCUGUAGCUCUGUAACUCGGCCGCAAGAGCAGAUUCAAUACCAAUGUUUAGAGAGAAGCCUUCGAUCCUCUUCGUUGUGCAGAACUCAGCCUGCUCCAAUUUGACCAGGCUCACCCCUGAAUAUCUAGGAGGGGGAAGCCAAUCAAGGAGCACAGUUUGCCUAGAGGAUUUGUAAGACUUUUGGGUUUAGGUUAGAGAAACGACCAGCUAUGCUACCCUAAAAAGCAUGGCAUGAGCUCCUCGGAAGCCCUCCUACUCCAAGGCCAAACUACUCAUUGACGGGUUUGGAUCUGUUUUGUUCUUCUAUUGGGUCAACUUCUCAUGAAGUCCGUUACAAACAGCAUAGUAUCCACAAAGAACAAACCUUUUCCCCGGAAUAAAGUUAAUUUCUGCGAAUGAUCUUUGCUCAGCUUAGGUCCCCUCUCUUUUUUUGGUCAAUGUUGGAGCUUGGAAUCAGAUUUCAUUUCUGUACAAACCCACUUAAUCUUUUUAUGGCAUAUAUGUGUCGUUAAUCUGCUAUCGCCAGUCCAAACCAGUCCAAUCCAAUCCAAUCCUAACCUUCGCUCGACCUACCUUAUUUGCCUUGGAUUUUAAUUUGAUCAUUGAUAGAUUACUGCAUUUAUCCUUGUUGCUGGUUGAAAGUUGAAUGCAGGCCUCUUAAGAUUUGGAAUGCUGAGGAAGCUGUGAAAUAUACAUCCCAAAAACCCAAAUCACCACCUCUCACAAGUUACUUGCAUGGCAAGCAUCCGGAUGAAGAUUGCCGAGGACAUUGCAGAGAUGGAUCAUCCAAUUUGGUUUAUGCCGAAAACGUUAACAGAAAAAUUAAGAUUAAUCAGAAGAAAGUAAUGUACAAAUUGUAUUGGUGAUCCUGUGUUUGUCCAGGUUGGUUAUGGGGUGGUAAAAGAGCUAGACGGGCACUUGUGUGGACUGGUGCCUUGGGGCGGAGGUGGCGGCAGAUCAUGGGAUGACGGAGUGUUUUCUGGUAUCAGCAGAUUCAUUUGACAAGAACAGCAGACGGUGUUUGCUCAAUCCACAUUGAGUACGAUCGAAACGGCCAAUUCAUCUGGUCUGUUAGGCAUGGAGGCAAUGGAGGAAAUUCCUCACGUCGUGUAAUAAUCCUUUA